RNAcentral lists this ribosomal RNA (288 nucleotides) under Triticum aestivum (bread wheat). Its description in RNAcentral is "partial small subunit ribosomal RNA". The record is from RNAcentral. Lineage: Eukaryota; Viridiplantae; Streptophyta; Magnoliopsida; Poales; Poaceae.
AUGAUUAAAGGUUGGCUUGCGCUUGAUGUUCGGCCUGAUGAGUGGAUUGUUCUGGACUCAGUUAAGGAUUGGUGGACUCAGAAUGCCACAAAGCAAACUCCAUCGAGAAGGCCGCUUAUCUCGCUAAUGAUGCUCAUCUCUUGGGAAAUAUGGAAGGAACGAAAUGCUCGAGUUUUCCGCAGCACUGCAGUUCCGGUGGGAGUGUUGGUCACUAAGAUCAAAGAGGAGUGCUCGCUUUGGAGCUUUGUUGGAGCAAAAUAUUUGAGUAACAUUAUGCCGCGAGAGUGA